UAGAGUUUGAUCAUGGCUCAGAGCGAACGCUGGCGGCAGGCUUAACACAUGCAAGUCGAGCGGAUGUAGCAAUACAUCAGCGGCAGACGGGUGAGUAACGCGUGGGAACAUACCUUUUGGUUCGGAACAACCCAGGGAAACUUGGGCUAAUACCGGAUAAGCCCUUACGGGGAAAGAUUUAUCGCCGAAAGAUCGGCCCGCGUCUGAUUAGCUAGUUGGUGAGGUAACGGCUCACCAAGGCGACGAUCAGUAGCUGGUCUGAGAGGAUGAUCAGCCACAUUGGGACUGAGACACGGCCCAAACUCCUACGGGAGGCAGCAGUGGGGAAUAUUGGACAAUGGGCGCAAGCCUGAUCCAGCCAUGCCGCGUGAGUGAUGAAGGCCCUAGGGUUGAAAAGCUCUUUUGUGCGGGAAGAUAAUGACGGUACCGCAAGAAUAAGCCCCGGCUAACUUCGUGCCAGCAGCCGCGGUAAUGCCCA
RNAcentral lists this ribosomal RNA (478 nucleotides) under uncultured bacterium. RNAcentral describes it as "bacterial SSU rRNA". It matches the Rfam family "Bacterial small subunit ribosomal RNA", at positions 1 to 529 of the family's 1533-position model. The record is from RNAcentral.